AGAGUUUGAUCCUGGCUCAGGAUGAACGCUGGCGGCGUGCUUAACACAUGCAAGUCGAACGAUGAAGCCCAGCUUGCUGGGUGGAUUAGUGGCGAACGGGUGAGUAACACGUGAGCAACCUGCCCCUGACUCUGGGAUAAGCGCUGGAAACGGCGUCUAAUACUGGAUACGAACAAGAAUCGCAUGGUUACUUGUUGGAAAGAUUUUUUGGUUGGGGAUGGGCUCGCGGCCUAUCAGCUUGUUGGUGAGGUAAUGGCUCACCAAGGCGUCGACGGGUAGCCGGCCUGAGAGGGUGACCGGCCACACUGGGACUGAGACACGGCCCAGACUCCUACGGGAGGCAGCAGUGGGGAAUAUUGCACAAUGGGCGGAAGCCUGAUGCAGCAACGCCGCGUGAGGGAUGACGGCCUUCGGGUUGUAAACCUCUUUUAGCAGGGAAGAAGCGAGAGUGACGGUACCUGCAGAAAAAGCGCCGGCUAACUACGUGCCAGCAGCCGCGGUAAUACGUAGGGCGCAAGCGUUAUCCGGAAUUAUUGGGCGUAAAGAGCUCGUAGGCGGUUUGUCGCGUCUGCUGUGAAAUCCCGAGGCUCAACCUCGGGCCUGCAGUGGGUACGGGCAGACUAGAGUGCGGUAGGGGAGAUUGGAAUUCCUGGUGUAGCGGUGGAAUGCGCAGAUAUCAGGAGGAACACCGAUGGCGAAGGCAGAUCUCUGGGCCGUAACUGACGCUGAGGAGCGAAAGGGUGGGGAGCAAACAGGCUUAGAUACCCUGGUAGUCCACCCCGUAAACGUUGGGAACUAGUUGUGGGGUCCAUUCCACGGAUUCCGUGACGCAGCUAACGCAUUAAGUUCCCCGCCUGGGGAGUACGGCCGCAAGGCUAAAACUCAAAGGAAUUGACGGGGACCCGCACAAGCGGCGGAGCAUGCGGAUUAAUUCGAUGCAACGCGAAGAACCUUACCAAGGCUUGACAUAUACGAGAACGGGCCAGAAAUGGUCAACUCUUUGGACACUCGUAAACAGGUGGUGCAUGGUUGUCGUCAGCUCGUGUCGUGAGAUGUUGGGUUAAGUCCCGCAACGAGCGCAACCCUCGUUCUAUGUUGCCAGCACGUAAUGGUGGGAACUCAUGGGAUACUGCCGGGGUCAACUCGGAGGAAGGUGGGGAUGACGUCAAAUCAUCAUGCCCCUUAUGUCUUGGGCUUCACGCAUGCUACAAUGGCCGGUACAAUGGGCAGCGAUACCGUGAGGUGGAGCGAAUCCCAAAAAGCCGGUCCCAGUUCGGAUUGAGGUCUGCAACUCGACCUCAUGAAGUCGGAGUCGCUAGUAAUCGCAGAUCAGCAACGCUGCGGUGAAUACGUUCCCGGGUCUUGUACACACCGCCCGUCAAGUCAUGAAAGUCGGUAACACCUGAAGCCGGUGGCCUAACCCUUGUGGAGGGAGCUGUCGAAGGUGGGAUCGGUAAUUAGGACUAAGUCGUAACAAGGUAAAUCUCU
RNAcentral lists this ribosomal RNA (1488 nucleotides) under Microbacterium sp. BMA-5. RNAcentral describes it as "bacterial SSU rRNA". It matches the Rfam family "Bacterial small subunit ribosomal RNA". The record is from RNAcentral. Lineage: Bacteria; Bacillati; Actinomycetota; Actinomycetes; Micrococcales; Microbacteriaceae.